Molecule: ribosomal RNA, 481 nt
Filed under: uncultured bacterium
Lineage: Bacteria
Description: partial 16S ribosomal RNA
Rfam family: Bacterial small subunit ribosomal RNA
Source: RNAcentral
AUUGAACGCUGGCGGCAGGCCUAACACAUGCAAGUCGAGCGGAUGAAGGGAGCUUGUUCCUGGAUUCAGCGGCGGACGGGUGAGUAAUGCCUACGAAUCUGCCUGGUAGUGGGGGAUAACGUCCGUAAACGGGCGCUAAUACCGCAUACGUCCUGAGGGAGAACGUGGGGGAUCUUCGGUCCUCACGCUAUCAGAUGAGGCUAGGUCGGAUUAGCUCGUUGGUGGAGUAAAGGACUACCAAGGCGACGUUCCGUAACUGGUCUGAGAGGAUGAUCAGUCACACUGCAACGGAGAGGCCGUCAAGACUCCUACAGGCAGCAGCAGGGGGGAAUAUUGGACGGUGGACGAAAGGCUGGAGCAGCCCUGCCGCGGGUGUGAAGAAGGUCGUCGGAUUGUAGCACGUUAUGUGGGGAGAAAGGGUAGUAAGGUAAUACCUCGCUGCUUUGACGUUACCAACAGGAUAAGCACCGGCUAACAUCGU